GACGAGCGCUGGCGGCGUGCCUAAUACAUGCAAGUUGAGCGCUGAAGGUUGGUACUUGUACCAACUGGAUGAGCAGCGAACGGGUGAGUAACGCGUGGGGAAUCUGCCUUUGAGCGGGGGACAACAUUUGGAAACGAAUGCUAAUACCGCAUAAAAACUUUAAACACAAGUUUUAAGUUUGAAAGAUGCAAUUGCAUCACUCAAAGAUGAUCCCGCGUUGUAUUAGCUAGUUGGUGAGGUAAAGGCUCACCAAGGCGAUGAUACAUAGCCGACCUGAGAGGGUGAUCGGCCACAUUGGGACUGAGACACGGCCCAAACUCCUACGGGAGGCAGCAGUAGGGAAUCUUCGGCAAUGGACGAAAGUCUGACCGAGCAACGCCGCGUGAGUGAAGAAGGUUUUCGGAUCGUAAAACUCUGUUGGUAGAGAAGAACGUUGGUGAGAGUGGAAAGCUCAUCAAGUGACGAUAACUACCCAGAAAGGGACGGCUAACUACGUG
This 497-nucleotide ribosomal RNA is filed under the name uncultured bacterium. RNAcentral describes it as "partial 16S ribosomal RNA". It matches the Rfam family "Bacterial small subunit ribosomal RNA", at positions 28 to 507 of the family's 1533-position model. The record is from RNAcentral.